This 1192-nucleotide long non-coding RNA is filed under the name Equus caballus (horse). RNAcentral describes it as "lncRNA (ENSECAG00000027971.3)". The record is from RNAcentral. Lineage: Eukaryota; Metazoa; Chordata; Mammalia; Perissodactyla; Equidae.
CUGGCACAUAGCAUACACCUGACAGGUGACAGCUGUUAUUAUUAUUAUUGUAUCUUAUGAUCACUCACCUGCACCUGAAGGCAAAUCCACAGGGACUACUGAAGGAUGGCAGGAGAAUUCCGGCGCUCCUCUCCACAGGACCAGCUGGCAGGAGUCCUGGUUUGCCGACCUACCACUAUAGCUCCCCAGCUGAUUUGGAUGGUCAUCAUAUAUCUCACGUGAGGAGACCGAGCCUGGAGAGUUUGGGCCCAAGCAGGGAUUGCUCAGGACUCCUUCCCGAGAGUCUGUCAACACCCUUCUUCUCCUUCUUCCCAUCCUGGCUUGGCCUCUGGCUCUCAGAACCACUUUGUCCUGCACAGUUUUUGCCUUCUGUUGGGGACGUCAAGCUAUGAGCCAGACAUUCCUCUGAGGGUCUCGGUGGGUGGGAGAAGCAGCCCCAUGUGCUGGCCACCAGCCCCUCCUGCCCUCUCUGAGGGUGAUCUAUGGCUUGUCAGAGGUGUGGGUUCUCGCCAUUUGCUGAAUAGAAAGCUUCUUUGUUCUUGGGAGUGAAAAUAACCCUAAGAUAAAUGUGGGGGCUGGAAGAGCUCAGGGAAUGUUGGGCUCUAGCUGCCUGGAGGCUCCUCCCUGAAGCAGAGGGUCUAAGGUUGGGAGAGACAGGAGCAGGUAGAUCAUGGUCAUGAGUCCUCUGGGGACUGUGAGCUGUGGCCCUUGGAGGGUGGCCAUGGGCUCUUCUCAAAUGCAACCCAGCUACCAACACCUGCCUGAAACUUACUUCCCUGGUCAGUAACCUUCCGUCAACCCAUGGAAAUUUCCUAUCCUUCGUCACUUAUUGGUUAAACAGGACCAACCUCUCCAUAACUUCCUCUACUUCCUGUCACCUGGAGGCUGCCCUCUGCUCCCCUAAAAAAAACUCCCUUUUAUCUUCUCUCUACUAUUUGUCUUCCCAUCCCCUUGCCUUCCUACUUGCCCCACGGAGCCUGCAUUUAGUUUUUCUGGCUCUUGUGGAGAAAGGACAGGACCCACCUCUGCACCUGGCUGCUGCAAACCCCAUAAAGUUCAGGGUAUGACUCUUCCAUGGACCGUAACCCCUCCCUUCCCUAAUCCGGCCCAGGCAGGCCUGAGUUGGAGGACGCUGGAGCUGGCAGAAGAGGAGAAUGGGGAGGGGGAUUGUUGUUUUGGGAUGUUAGUAAUC